This 254-nucleotide ribosomal RNA is filed under the name uncultured bacterium. Its description in RNAcentral is "partial 16S ribosomal RNA". It matches the Rfam family "Bacterial small subunit ribosomal RNA", at positions 524 to 777 of the family's 1533-position model. The record is from RNAcentral.
UACGGAGGGUGCGAGCGUUGUCCGGAAUUACUGGGCGUAAAGCGCACGUAGGCGGAUCUUUAAGUCAGGGGUGAAAUCCUGGAGCUCAACUCCAGAACUGCCUUUGAUACUGAGGACCUUGAGUUCGGGAGAGGUGAGUGGAACUGCGAGUGUAGAGGUGAAAAUUCGUAGAUAUUCGCAAGAACACCAGUGGCGAAGGCGGCUCACUGGCCCGAUACUGACGCUGAGGUGCGAAAGCGUGGGAGCAAACAGGG